CUGUCGUCAGCUCGUGUCGUGAGAUGUCGGUUAAGUCCGCUACGAGCGCAACCCUCGCUGUGUGUUAUAUGUGUCACACGGGACUGCCGGUCUUAAGCCGGAGGAAGGUGGGGAUGAUGUCAAGUCAGCAUGGCCUUUAUAUCCUGGGCUACACACACGCUACAAUGGCCAACACAAUAGGUUGCUAAGCCGCGAGGUGGCGCCAAUCCAUAAAGUUGGUCUCAGUUCAGAUUGUAGGCUGCAACCCGCCUGCAUGAAGAUGGAGUUGCUAGUAACCGCAGGUCAGCUAUACUGCGGUGAAUACGUUCCCGGGGCUU
This 317-nucleotide ribosomal RNA is filed under the name uncultured Leptolinea sp. RNAcentral's name for it is "bacterial SSU rRNA". It matches the Rfam family "Bacterial small subunit ribosomal RNA", at positions 1049 to 1382 of the family's 1533-position model. Lineage: Bacteria; Bacillati; Chloroflexota; Anaerolineae; Anaerolineales; Anaerolineaceae. The record is from RNAcentral.